RNAcentral lists this ribosomal RNA (807 nucleotides) under biocide-degrading bacterium 107. RNAcentral describes it as "bacterial SSU rRNA". It matches the Rfam family "Bacterial small subunit ribosomal RNA", at positions 62 to 865 of the family's 1533-position model. The record is from RNAcentral.
UCGAGCGGUAGAGAGAAGCUUGCUUCUCUUGAGAGCGGCGGACGGGUGAGUAAUGCCUAGGAAUCUGCCUGGUAGUGGGGGAUAACGUUCGGAAACGGACGCUAAUACCGCAUACGUCCUACGGGAGAAAGCAGGGGACCUUCGGGCCUUGCGCUAUCAGAUGAGCCUAGGUCGGAUUAGCUAGUUGGUGAGGUAAUGGCUCACCAAGGCGACGAUCCGUAACUGGUCUGAGAGGAUGAUCAGUCACACUGGAACUGAGACACGGUCCAGACUCCUACGGGAGGCAGCAGUGGGGAAUAUUGGACAAUGGGCGAAAGCCUGAUCCAGCCAUGCCGCGUGUGUGAAGAAGGUCUUCGGAUUGUAAAGCACUUUAAGUUGGGAGGAAGGGUACUUACCUAAUACGUGAGUAUUUUGACGUUACCGACAGAAUAAGCACCGGCUAACUCUGUGCCAGCAGCCGCGGUAAUACAGAGGGUGCAAGCGUUAAUCGGAAUUACUGGGCGUAAAGCGCGCGUAGGUGGUUCGUUAAGUUGGAUGUGAAAUCCCCGGGCUCAACCUGGGAACUGCAUCCAAAACUGGCGAGCUAGAGUAUGGUAGAGGGUGGUGGAAUUUCCUGUGUAGCGGUGAAAUGCGUAGAUAUAGGAAGGAACACCAGUGGCGAAGGCGACCACCUGGACUGAUACUGACACUGAGGUGCGAAAGCGUGGGGAGCAAACAGGAUUAGAUACCCUGGUAGUCCACGCCGUAAACGAUGUCAACUAGCCGUUGGGAGCCUUGAGCUCUUAGUGGCGCACCUACGCAUUAAUU